RNAcentral lists this unclassified non-coding RNA (329 nucleotides) under soil metagenome. RNAcentral's name for it is "partial contains 5.8S ribosomal RNA, internal transcribed spacer 2, and large subunit ribosomal RNA". The stretch from base 1 to 120 matches the Rfam family "5.8S ribosomal RNA", at positions 35 to 154 of the family's 154-position model. The record is from RNAcentral.
GAUGAAGAACGCAGCGAAAUGCGAUAAGUAAUGUGAAUUGCAGAAUUCAGUGAAUAAUCGAAUCUUUGAACGCACAUUGCGCCCCCUGGUAUUCCGGGGGGCAUGCCUGUCCGAGCGUCAUUACAACCCUCAAGCUCAGCUUGGUAUUGGGCCCCGCCGACCCGGCGGGCCCUAAAGUCAGUGGCGGUGCCGUCCGGCUCCGAGCGUAGUAAUUCUUCUCGCUCUGGAGGUCCGGUCGUGUGCUCGCCAGCAACCCCCAAUUUUUUUCAGGUUGACCUCGGAUCAGGUAGGGAUACCCGCUGAACUUAAGCAUAUCAAUAAGCGGAGGA